UACUGACUUCAGCCAAACUCCGAAUGCCGGGAAGUGAGAGCGUGGCAGUGAGACUGUGGGGGAUAAGCUUCAUAGUCGAGAGGGAAACAGCCCAGACCACCGGUUAAGGCCCCUAAGCGUGUGCUAAGUGGGAAAGGAUGUGGAGUUGCUGAGACAACCAGGAGGUUGGCUUAGAAGCAGCCACCCUUGAAAGAGUGCGUAAUAGCUCACUGGUCAAGUGAUUCCGCGCCGACAAUGUAGCGGGGCUCAAGUACACCGCCGAAACCGUGGCAUUCAGUUUUGCUGGAUGGGUAGGGGAGCGUCGUUCACGAGGUGAAGCCAGCGGGUAACUUCUGGUGGAUUGUGGACGAGUGAGAAUGCAGGCAUGAGUAGCGAAAGACGGGUGAGAAACCCGUCCGCCGGAUGACUAAGGGUUCCAGGGUCAAGCUAAUCUGCCCUGGGUAAGUCGGGACCUAAGGCGAGGCCGACAGGCGUAGUCGAUGGACAACGGGUUGAUAUUCCCGUACCAGUGAAGAACCGCCCAUGCUGAGCCGGUGAUACUAACCGCCCGAACCAUCCCGAACCUCGUCUUUGACGGGGUCGGUGAUGGGGA
RNAcentral lists this ribosomal RNA (592 nucleotides) under Micrococcus luteus NCTC 2665. RNAcentral describes it as "partial 23S ribosomal RNA". It matches the Rfam family "Bacterial large subunit ribosomal RNA", at positions 937 to 1525 of the family's 2925-position model. Lineage: Bacteria; Bacillati; Actinomycetota; Actinomycetes; Micrococcales; Micrococcaceae. The record is from RNAcentral.